AUUGAACGCUGGCGGCAUGCCUAACACAUGCAAGUCGAACGGCAGCAUGACCUAGCUUGCUAGGUUGAUGGCGAGUGGCGAACGGGUGAGUAACGCGUAGGAAUAUACCUUAAAGUGGGGGACAACUUGGGGAAACUCAAGCUAAUACCGCGUAAUCUCUUAGGAGGAAAGCUGGGGGACUCUUCGGAGCCUGGCGCUUUAAGAAUAGCCUGCGUCUGAUUAGCUAGUUGGUAGGGUAAAGGCCUACCAAGGCGACGAUCGGUAGCUGGUCUGAGAGGAUGGUCAGCCACACUGGGACUGAGACACGGCCCAGACUCCUACGGGAGGCUG
RNAcentral lists this ribosomal RNA (330 nucleotides) under uncultured Pseudomonadota bacterium. RNAcentral's name for it is "bacterial SSU rRNA". It matches the Rfam family "Bacterial small subunit ribosomal RNA", at positions 30 to 351 of the family's 1533-position model. The record is from RNAcentral. Lineage: Bacteria; Pseudomonadati; Pseudomonadota.